GCCAGACUCCUACGGGAGGCAGCAGUGGGGAAUAUUGCACAAUGGGGGAAACCCUGAUGCAGCAACGCCGCGUGAGUGAAGAAGUAUUUCGGUAUGUAAAGCUCUAUCAGCAGGGAAGAAAAUGACGGUACCUGAAGAAGAAGCCCCGGCUAACUACGUGCCAGCAGCCGCGGUAAUACGUAGGGGGCAAGCGUUAUCCGGAUUUACUGGGUGUAAAGGGGGCGCAGACGGCAGCGCAAGCCAGGAGUGAAAGCCCGGGGCCCAACCCCGGGACUGCUCUUGGAACUGCGCGGCUGGAGUGCAGGAGGGGCAGGCGGAAUUCCUGGUGUAGCGGUGAAAUGCGUAGAUAUCAGGAGGAACACCGGUGGCGAAGGCGGCCUGCUGGACUGCGACUGACGUUGAGGCCCGAAAGCGUGGGGAGCAAACAGGAUUAGAUACCCUCGUAAU
This 447-nucleotide ribosomal RNA is filed under the name uncultured bacterium. RNAcentral describes it as "partial 16S ribosomal RNA". It matches the Rfam family "Bacterial small subunit ribosomal RNA", at positions 330 to 794 of the family's 1533-position model. The record is from RNAcentral.